GACGAACGCUGGCGGCGUGCCUAAUACAUGCAAGUAGAACGCUGAAGGAGGAGCUUGCUCUUCUGGAUGAGUUGCGAACGGGUGAGUAACGCGUAGGUAACCUGCCUGGUAGCGGGGGAUAACUAUUGGAAACGAUAGCUAAUACCGCAUAACAGUAGAUGUUGCAUGACAUUUACUUAAAAGGUGCAAUUGCAUCACUACCAGAUGGACCUGCGUUGUAUUAGCUAGUUGGUGGGGUAACGGCUCACCAAGGCGACGAUACAUAGCCGACCUGAGAGGGUGAUCGGCCACACUGGGACUGAGACACGGCCCAGACUCCUACGGGAGGCAGCAGUAGGGAAUCUUCGGCAAUGGACGGAAGUCUGACCGAGCAACGCCGCGUGAGUGAAGAAGGUUUUCGGAUCGUAAAGCUCUGUUGUAAGAGAAGAACGAGCGUGAGAGUGGAAAGUUCACACUGUGACGGUAUCUUACCAGAAAGGGACGGCUAACUACGUG
This 495-nucleotide ribosomal RNA is filed under the name uncultured bacterium. RNAcentral describes it as "partial 16S ribosomal RNA". It matches the Rfam family "Bacterial small subunit ribosomal RNA", at positions 28 to 507 of the family's 1533-position model. The record is from RNAcentral.